This 10215-nucleotide long non-coding RNA is filed under the name Ananas comosus (pineapple). RNAcentral describes it as "long non-coding RNA (ACOM_LNC011393)". The record is from RNAcentral. Lineage: Eukaryota; Viridiplantae; Streptophyta; Magnoliopsida; Poales; Bromeliaceae.
AGUCUCUCGAAAACGAGAAGUUCUACACUGUCACGCCUGCUCCACGUCAUCAAUAAUAAAUUAAUUAUAUUUCUUUUUUUUAAAUAAAAGUAUAAUAAAAAUAUUUUUUUACAAUCAUGAUAGAACAUAUAUCUUUAAAAUGAGUUAUUUGAUUGAUUUGUGACGCCACGUCACUAAUAUAUCCGAUGUAUUCUAAAAUUUUUUCUCGAAAACCUAUUUUUCUGUGGCAAGAAAACAAAGGAGUAAAAAAGGAAAACAAGGACAAGUCAUCUGCCAGUCAAAGAAGGGGCGCGACCAUUAACGUGGAUGUUAUACCUCCGAGAUCACGAGUCCCCAGCUAACGAAAAAAACCGACCCAAACGAACACCUAACCCUACCCUAGACCCGAGCACCUACGCUGCGCCUCGGGAUGCGGUCACCCUUGGGGUCGUUCUAAGCCCUUUGACCGGACACGCGCAUCCAAACCGCUGUCGCUGCAUUUGUUUCAAAUUUUCAAUAUACAAUUUUAAAAUUAUUUUUUUUUUCCAUUUCAUUUAUUUUAUUUGAAAAUAAAUUUAGCUGGAAAUGUAAAUUAACUAUGAUUCGAACUUGGAUCUCGGGUACCAACCAUUAAGUUUUUUUGCCACUUGCGCUAGGAACGGUCGAUAAUUUUAAGGAGAUAUUUGCGCGUUGCAACGGAUCAAUUAUACAGCAAAUAAAUAUAAAAGACUGAAGAAAGAAUAAAUAAUACAAGAAUGUAAGAAGCCAAAGAAUAAAAAAAUAAAAAUAGAAAAAGCUGAAAAAGAUGAAGUAGCAGUUACCGUAAAAUAUGAAAAAAAAAUGUAAGAAGAAGAAAAAUAAGAAUAAAAGUUAUGUUGGCUUAAAUGAGUCAGCAUCCUGCCCUGUGGCGGGAGGCCAUGUGGGCCGAGUCAUGUUCGAAAUUGCGUGAGGCUAGGUUGGGCCGAGUCAUGUUUGAAGUUGCGUGAGGCCAGGUGGGCCGAGUCACAAUCGAGACCCGUGGGCGCUGUUUCUGUACGCUUUAAGUGAAUUGGUUGCGUAUUUUUAACAGCUCGAGCUUUUGGGAUUAAUGGUUAGCGCCAACGAUCCGACAAGUUAGGGGUGAAAAUGGUUAGGAUAAAUUUCGAUACCGGAUUCGAUAGAAUGUGAAUAUAAUUAUCAAAAUUUAGCAUUCGUUAUAUAUUCGAAUCUGAAUUCGUAUUUGAAAAAAAUUUAAAAAUAUAUAGAGGUGAAUAUGAUUUUUUCCUAAAUCUGAUUAUAUUUGACUGUUGUCAUUUCUAAGAGAUAAGAAGGAUAUUAAUAUAUAUUAUAGGAAGGAUAAAGUUAUUUUCUAUUGUGCUUUUCAUUUAUUUAAAUAUGAAUUUCAUAUUAAAAUUAUAUUUAUAAUUAUUAAAAUAUUAAAUUUUAUUGAAUAAAAUAUAGGUAUAUGAGGUUUAAACACAAAUAAGAACUUUUAAUUGCAUUGUGUCUUUUAUUUGCAUUAUUUUUAGUUUAUAUUUAUAUAUACAUUAUUAGUAUAUUUUACUAUCUGAAUAUAAAGUCUGCUUAGAUUUAAAUCUAAAUCCAUUUUAAGAGGAUGUAGUCUCAAAAGUUUAGCAUUGGACAUAUAUUCACAACGUAAAAAAAAUGGAUGCGGAUAAGGUUUUAUCAAAAAUCCAACUUUAUUGGACCAUUUCGCUCUAAUAAAAAGCAAAUACUAUAAAAUUAAUAAAUUAUAUUGGUAGAGCAAUAAAAGUAUAAUAAAAAAAAAACCAGUAGGAGCAACAGAACUAACAUAGUUAGUAAAUGAAAAAAGAAAUAUUCUAUGAAUCAAUUAUAAAAGUAAAUUUAUACACCACAUUUCUCAAAUCUUAUUAUAAAAUUUUAAAUUAUGUAAAUUUUAUAUAUAGUUUUUUUAUAUGAUUUGAAUUGUAUAUAUUAAAUAUAAAUUUUGAUCUUAUAAUAUUAAUAUUUUAAAAUAAAUCAUAUAGAAAAAAUAAAAAAAAGAAAAAUUGAUGGAGAAAAAAAGGGGGAGAAGUGUGUUGCAAAAAAAAAAAUGUCAGCAUGAGAUGGAAAAAAAAAAAAAAACAUAAAAAAAUAUUAAAAAUCUCAGCCCAGCCCCUAACUCCUUGUGAAGCAUUGAAGAUUGAACCAUUGAAGAUUAUUAUUAUUAUUAUUAUCAUCUUCAAUUUCAAGUUUAUGUUAAAAAUGAAUGAAAUUCCGUAUGUAGACAAGCCAAUUGAAUCGAAGACAGUUAAAAUUUUUUAAGUAAAUUGUAAAAUUAUAUCAAAUAAGAUACUUAGGCUUGGUUUGGUAUUGAGGUCUAUCUGAUGCUGUUAGAUAAAAUAGAGUUAGAAAAAAAAAAUAGGGAUAAGUGUUUUCCGGUGGAAUUGCAGAAAAUAUAUAAUAACGGAGUUAUCGUAAUAUGCGGAACGCAAUAUUACGUACGAAAAUAAAUAAAAUAUUUUCCUCUCGUACUUUUUUACCGCACAUAAGGUAAUUUUUCCGCAAUCCCAACCGAAGCUUUAGUUAUCCAAAUAAGGUCUAAAGCUGUUAGUUAUAUUGCUUGUACUAAGAUUAUUUUUUAGUUAUUUUAUAGUAAAUUGAUUUUCUCAGUAAUUUGAAAUUAGAGUCAGGUUAAAGCUCCCUCUAUUUCAAGUGGUUCAUUUAAAAUAACUUUUAAUUCUUAAAACCUGAUAAUCGAGAAUAGCUGAUUGAAUCUAAAUAUCAAAAUUAGUAGAAUAUAACAUCAUUAGUAAUUUUAUAUUCAAUAUGAUAUAUCAAUGUUAUACAAUACUAUCUAAAAGAUAAAUGUAGUAAAAAAAAAAAAAAAAAGCCUGAAAAGUCUUUAACAUAAAUUACCCAAUACCAACAAAGAGUGUACAAGCACAAAUGCCCCAAAAUUGAUACUAGAUGAUGCCGUUACACACAAAUAAAAUUAUCUCAUCAAAUGUUCUUUUGGCUAGUGUUUGGUUAGAGGUUAAGGGGUGGAAUAAUCCUUUAACCUCCAAUUUAUUUCCAAACACAUCAAAAAAUGGGUGGGAUUAGCAAAUAGCCAAUUUGGGAUGGAGUUUGCUAACCCCACCCCACUUCACUAUUCUAAUCAAACAAAAUACUAUUUUACCCACUAUUCUUCUUAUCCCACCUACUCUAACUAAAUAUUAUUUUUUUUAAUCAUGAACUAACUUCAACCCCCAAUCAAACAAAAAAAAAAACUCUAAUCUCAUUUUAAUCCUAAAAUUAAUCUUAUUUUUGAAAUAACUAGUUUUUUUUAAAAUCCGAUUCAAACAGUAGCUUGGUGUACAUAUUGAUGCGCUUAGUAUCUUACUGAGAAAACCCACCAUCACGAAAUACGGAAAACCUGUACGGUUUCUUGGAUUGGUUGGGUGGUCCAAUAAAUAUAAAGUCCUUUAGGAAGCGAAUGUUGCAACAUAGCUAUCACGUGAUACCCAGAUUCCAUUCUUUUUUGCGCCCCCUACUCGGAAAAAGAAGCCGAUCGGACGGUCGAGAUCGUUUUUCUCUUUCCCCACCUGAAGAGUCGCUCCCCUUCGUUCGUUUCCGGUUGUAAACGAACCGAAGAGUCAGGGGCAUGCUCGUCAUCUUAAGGUUAAUUGUGUUAUGAAAUAUAGUAAAAUAAAAUAAAAUAUUUUAUUAUGUUAAUUCAGCAGUAAAUUUUAUUAGAAAUUUUUUUUCGAGAGUAAUAAAUUAUAAUAAUCAUCAAAGAGGCUUCGAUGAGCUCUUACCAUUCCAGCGUGAUUAACUUUUACACAGCUAGCGGUAAUAUAAAAUUUAAAAAGAAAAAGAAAAAGAAAAAGAAAAGGUUAAGGCCCAAAAAAAAGAAAAGAAAAAGGGACACUACAUUCCCGAAAUUGCCCUUCCUCGGUGAGCACACUCGCGCCCGAGUGACGACCGAGUCGCUUGCGCGGGUUAAUAAAAUGUACACACACGCACACAAACACCGAGUCCGAGUCCGAGUCCGCAAACAUCAAGCCGGGUUUUUCAAACCCGGGAGUCGAAGCGGGCCGGUCGAGCGCGCACGCGCUCACCCGUCGUCCAAGUAGCGGAGGAGCUCGGCCUCGGCCUCGGCCUCCGCCGCGGCGGGUCGGUGGUCGUCGGCGGCGAGAAUGGCGUCGAGGGCGCGGCGGAAGAGCGGGGCGGGGCAGGGGAUCCGGAGCACCCCGCGCUGCUCGUACCCGUACUCCUGCGCCGACCUCCGCAGCAUCGCCACGAACACCGGCCGGCUCAGCAGCUCCGCCCGCACCACGAACCGCUCCAUCUCCUCCCCCACGUACACCGGCACGUGCCCCUCCGGCGCCCGCACGUGACCCCCCCGCCGCUCCUCCUUCCCCCCCGUUCCCACCACCACUCCCCUCCCCUGCCGCUGCUGCUGCUGCGACGACGACGAGUCCGCCACCCUCGACAGCCGUCGGAUCAUCUCCCUCAUCAAUCGAAUCCAACGGCCCAGGAAAAAAACAACAACAGCAGAACAAAAAAAAAAAAACGACCGGAGGAAAAUACCACUACGGUGGUGGUGAGUUGGGUGGAGGAGGAGCUUCUGCGGCGUGCGAUAUUUAUAGCGGAAUUUAGAGGAUUAUUACUAUUUUUUUUGAAAAAAAAAAAUAACACGGAAAAUGAGAAAAAAGAAAAAGGAGGAGACGGUACAAGUGGGAGUACAUGGCAGGUACGAAAUGUAAUAAAAAAAAAAAUCGAACACCAAAUCAGCGAUUCCGCUGCAAGUAACCGAACACCGUACAACCGUAUCCACCAAUAAAAUCUAGCCACGUACGACACUAUCGCCGCAGAGUGAGAGUAAAGGAGAUAAAGCGGCACGAUUCUUAGCGUAACGCUGCGUUGUGGCGCCAAUCGCGCCCGGCGCGACACGUGCCGUUUCCUUCGGCUGCUCGUAGCCAAGGAAAAGUCGUAGGUCGUAUACUGCAUUAGUAUAAUUGCACGGAGACCCCUCAACUAUACUUUUUCCUUCUUUAAUGGAAGCAACUGUAGUCUUUAACGUUAACACUUUCUUAGCUUAUGAUUUUUUUUUUUUAACAAAAAGUUUUUGUUAUUUUAAUAAUUUCAAUGGCUUAACAGUAAAUAAAGGUGUUAAAGUUGUGUGUGUCGGAAAGCGAAUAGUACUAUUAAACGUAAGUUGAGGUGCCUUUUUCGAGGCGCCCUGUAGUACGCUUUUACCUUCGUCAAUUAAAACAAACGGGUCCACCGGACCAUGUGACUCGGGCCUAUUUCGGGUCGGACAAACGGGCCCAUCCGGGCCACCGUGAAUGAGAUUGCCAUCACAUGAAGGGACCAAUUCCGACUAACCACACCCAUACAUAUCUCGGUCGUGGUCCACGUGGGCCUCAAAAUACACCCAAAUGUGACGCAUGUGAACGUGACUAGAUGCUGUUCUUUGUACUGGUGUUCUGCUGUGAGCUUAUCGCAAGCCUAUUCAAUGUUCUUAAUUUGCCGUUGUUGGGUUCCACCCACCUACUUGCGUAGUAUAUUGCCAUGAGUUUUUUGACUUUUGAGUUCUAGAAUACAAUUUAUUAAUUAAUAGAGGGUGGAUUAGAUACUGAGAAAGAAUUAAGGAGAAUUAGCCGUCCGAAUUAAGAACAGGUGAUCUGCUGUGGUAUCCUGCUCGCAUUGCAGUUCACUAGUAGCUCUAAUUAACCACUGCUUAUGUUAUUUAAAUCAGAUUCUAGAACUAAUCUUGUUGCAGUUGUGUAUAUCUAUGUAGGACCUGGAGUGGCUGUAUCUAGUAAUUAAGUAGGAAUUAUGCUAGCCAAAAAGACACUGUUCAUCAUGGAUCUUAUAGGGCCCUGCUGCUUCGCCAAUAAAUGCAGUAAUGCACUUGGCAAUGGGUGAAAGGACAUCGAAGUUCCUUAGAUAUGUUUCUAUUAGAAAUGGAUCUCCUAGUACCAUCACCCUCCUUAAAACAACGUAUCAAUAAUGAGAUUUAGCACAAUUAUCAGGUUAAUUACACCACACGUACUAAAAAACACGUACGGAUACAUAUUGUUGGCGUCAUAAAAGUUGCGCGAUGUGGUGAAUCAGGAUGCAUUAUGAGAAUAACUCCUGAAUGUAGGAAUAACUAACAUAUGGUGCGCUAGGAGCGGAGAAAAGUGUACCUAAAAUCGAAAAGCAGUUGAAUCUUAUACGGUUAGGAUCGGCAGAUUGUGACCCACAAAAUCAGAGAUGUGGCCAAUCAUGAGUAAUAACCGAAUAACAACAGACAAAAUUAUAAAAUAGAUAAGAAACGCCUGACAUAGGGAUCUUUUUUCCAUGCGAACGUGAAAAUCAUUUAUUUUUUUCUUUACAUUUUUCGCUUUUUAGGAGUAGUUUAUUUGUUAUCUCUUUUUUUUUGUUAUAUUUAGUGUUUUUUCUAUGAAUAGUUUUUAGGUUAGUAUUUCCUCUGAGAUCAUUCGCCAUAACAGCGCAUCCUUUUCUAUAAAUAUUUUCUAGUUUUAAGCACUAUAUAAGCAUUUCGGUGCUACAGUCGAACCUAAAAAUAUUGUGCAGUUUCUGGACUCGACUGAGCCAGCUGAACUGAAAAUACUGUAUAAUCUUUGAACUCGGCCGAUCCGAUCCAUCAUCCGAAUCGUUUGAUUCAAUUGCGAGCGCUAAUUUUGAGGAUCAUCAUCAGUUGCCGCUCUACCUUCCUUGCGUUCUUUCCGAAGGAGGACUUUUGACCAAGACAGUGGCCAAGAAAAUCUACUUGCAGCACAUACUUUCCAGUAAUACUACAAUUUUUUCAUCAUAUCAUUCUUAUCUAUUAUAGAUGCUGGCACUAUAAUUUGAUUGAUUCAUGCACGUGCUGUUAUCCGGCACUCUAGAAAAACGACAUAAUGUUGUACAUAAAAAAGUAUUUAUGUUUACAUUUAGUCUAUAAGGCGAAAGUCGGAUUAAUUCAAAUUAUAAUCGAGUACCACGAGUGCUUUGUCUAUACGUUUUAAUUUUAUUUGGUUGGUAUUAAUGAUCCAACAAAUAAUAUUGAAGUCAAAUUACGAAUUCGAUUCUCAAAUUUUCAUAUACUGUAAAGGUGAAGUAAAAGAUUAUUGAAGGAUUAUAGUUAAUACGAACGAUCAACAAUAUAUAUAGAGAGAGAGAGAGUCUGGCUACUAUACUAUCGAUAGUAGCAAGCUCUUGAUACUAACGAGUUUUCUGCUAUUAGAUCUACCCUUUGAUACCGACCGUCCCUAGAGCAAGUGGCAAAGGGCUUGGUGGUUGGUACCCGAGACCGAAGUUCGAAUCCUAGUUGAUUCACACAUUUCUAGCUAAGUUUAUUUCUAAAUGAAAAAAACGAAGCGGGUAGCAUGCUACCUAUCUCUCAAAAAAAAAAAGAUCUAUCCUUUGAUUAUUUUUACCCAUUAGAUUAUACUAUUGAACUAACCAUCUAUUCAACCUUAGGGGACCUCUAUUAUCCUAACCGCACAUCCUUUCAUACAAUGGUCGAAAACUCGAUAGCACCAGGCACUUGGUACUAUCAAUAGCACUAAGUCAUUGGUGCUAUUAGGUUUUUGGCCCUUGAAUGAAGAAAUGUGCAGUUAGUAUAAUAGUGAUCCUCUAGAGUUGAGUGGGUAGUUGGUUGAUUAGUAUAAUCUAACGAGUGAAAAUAAUUAAAAUGGUAGAUCUAACGACGAAAAAUAUCAAGCGCUUGAUACUAUCGAUUGGUCAUCGGAGGCCUCCGUGCUAUCGAUAGUAUACCAGUCUAGCUCUCUCUCUCUCUCUCUCUCUAUAUAUAUAUAUAUAUAUAUAGAAUUGAGUUAGAAUACUUUUAAAAGCACUAACCCCUUGGUGCUUCUAAGUUUCUAGCCCUUGGAUCUACUCCUUAAUUACUAAUACUUCUUAGAUCAAAUAUUAUUUCAUCUACCACCACCUAUCAUCACCUACCACCAUCAUCAUCUCAACCCUACACCUCUCUAUCCAAUGGUUAAAAAUUCAAAAGCACCACCUCCUUGGUGCUUUUGAGAGUAUUAAUUCUAGCUCAACUCUCUCUCUCUCUCUCUCUCUCUAUAUAUAUAUAUAUAUAUAUAUAUAUAAGAUACACCAAAUUUUCCGGUACUCUUUGGCUUCCGUAGAGCAAAUGGGUACGGUGUGUGGAUUGCAUGGAUGGGCCCCGUGGUUUGCUUUGCGUUUCGCGCCGUAUUUCCGACAAAAGGCGCAAAGCGGGAAAACACGUAAAGAGUGCGGUUAGUGUGUUUUUUUGACCCCCCAGUGCGGAAAUCCUUCCCGUCACUUUCGGCAUCGCAUGUGGUCUGGAAGGUCCCACGUCCCCCUCAAAUGACCAAAAUGCCCAUAACUAAUGCCAGCACUUUUCCUUCCUACUUUACAAUAUAUAUUAUCAUCAUUAUGUCUAAAUUACUAAAAAAUAAAAAUAAAAAGUAAAACGUAGCAUACCUAUAGAUCAUUGUAAAUCAGCUAUUUUAAAAUUUUAAGUUUUUUAUUUUCAAAUCUUUCAAUUUGUUUAAUUUGAGUCAGUCAACGAUAUUUUAAUUUUAAAAUUUAAGCUAAUUGAUUAUUUUAAUAAAUUUAUAGUUCCGAGAAUUUUAUAAAAUAUACUAAUCAAAUCUGUAAAGAAAAAAUAGCGCAUUUAAAUUUUGAAAUCAGAAUGUUGUUGAUCGACUCAAAUCAAGUAAAUUGAGGGAUUUGAUAUAUAGUAAAAUCAAAAUUUUUAAAGAUUGAAUAGCUUACUCAAAACGGUUUAUAAUUUAGACAAAUUCGAUACAUUUUUUUCAAAAAAAGGUAAUUCUUGUAUUUUUGUUUUCCAAGUACCUCCUUGUAUCAUAAACUACUGCAAUUUUAAUAUAAAAAUAUGAUGUGCUCAGAUGGAUCGCAUCUUUGAUAAUUUGCAGUACUGGUCAUAAAUGUCUGUCGUAUUAGGAGAUACCAAAUUACUUCAUCGACCAAUUACAAGUUCGAUUAGUGCAAAAACUUAUCUACAAAUAUUUUUUAAAAAACUAUUUUUUAUGUUAAUCAUCUUAAAAGGAACUUUUAUAGCGUUAUGUAUAAAAUAGUACCGUUCUUUAGUUAGACACUUUUGGUUGUGACAUUUUUUUUUAAUUGGCACUUUAGUUGUGUACUAUGAUCAUUAACUUUGUAGGACAAUAAUCUGUCAAAAAAAAAAAAAACUUUAUAGGACAAUAACACAAGCAUAAAAAUAACGGUAGGGGUAUUUCUGUAAUUUCAUCACAGAGGUAUGGGCACUCUGGUCAAUGGCGAGGAUAACGCUAUCACGAAAGAAUCCCAACCGUCCUCUUAUCCCUCGGGGAAUUAAACGGCCCAUCAUGAUUAUACUACCAUCGUGAUUACACUAGUACCCUAAUAUACAUUGAAAUAAAUUAUUUAAAAAUAUAUAUUUUUUGCUAUAAAUAUUUUCUAUUAUAAUUUCAAGUUAAGAAUUUAAAUUUUUUUUCCUCAUUGUAGCAUAUCCGGAUGUCUCUUUUUGCGCUUGAAAUUAUGCUUUUUACCUAUCAAAUAGUAUAUAUUAAAACAUCGACAACGCACUUGUGCAUCGAAAUCGAUACACAAUUUAUUGAAAAAAACCUUUCCAUACUCUUCCUUAAUCUUUCUCUCUUUAUAUUUUAGUAUUCUAUAGUUGCAAUAGUUAAGCAUCUUAUGAUCUUUAUUUUUAUUUUCUAUUAGCAUUGUUGUUACCUCCAUUAACGCCCUCAUGUGUCCCAUGCGUACUAUGGACAUAUUGAACAAAUAGCACGUUGCCCGUUUUAUUUGUUUUAUUUAAAAAUAAAUUUAGCUGGAAUAUGAAUCAAUUAGAAUUCGAAUUUGAAAUCUCGAAUAUUAAUUGCAAAUCGCCCGUUUUAUUUGUUUUAUUUAAAAAUAAAUUUAGCUGGAAUAUGAAUCAAUUAGAAUUCGAAUUUGAAAUCUCGAAUAUUAAUUGCUAAUCUUUUUAUGUCACGCAAGUACUUUGUAUAUUUUUCGGUUGGCAUAAAUUAAGGCUACUCUGGUUUGAGCUUACCAUUGUGGGGAAAAGGGGUAUUGCCGUAAUUUCACUUUCUCCGGGCGUUGUGGUUCCCACGUAAACGGAUGUAUCCGUACAGGGACGUGGAACUCCACCGGGACAAUGCGCAUGAUCUCGGCGCACGAUAGAUGCGUGACAUAAAACAAGUACCCUCCUUGUCCCCUUGUGCGCCUUUCGCGGCGCACGAUAAGCUGACUAAUUCUAAAAGUGCGCUUUAUUUCUUUUUUACAGUUGUGUGUAUUUACAUUCCAUUUACAGUUAACAAAAAA